CACCGGCAGACAAAGAACUCUCCAAGAACCUCUGCAUGGAUAACCAGACUUGCUGGGAUUACGUGCACAAGCUGAACAACAAUGUGCCCCAUACCAAGGUCUCCUGUUGCCAAGGAAACUGCUCAGGACUCACUAACACCUCAGGGGAACACAAGAAAACCACCUGUUUCUCCUGCCCAGACUCUGGGCCCUGUCAAAGCUUCCUCUGCCCUGCCGGGAAGGACACCUGCCUCAGCAUGGUGGAGGUCCAAGCUGGACCUUCUGGGUGAAUGUCACCUGCUGCAGCGGCGGCCACUGUGGUGACCCCUUCCAGCCAGGUACGUGUGCCCGGGCAGGGCG
This 339-nucleotide long non-coding RNA is filed under the name Sarcophilus harrisii (Tasmanian devil). Its description in RNAcentral is "lncRNA (ENSSHAG00000029885.1)". The record is from RNAcentral. Lineage: Eukaryota; Metazoa; Chordata; Mammalia; Dasyuromorphia; Dasyuridae.